RNAcentral lists this unclassified non-coding RNA (200 nucleotides) under Hevea brasiliensis (rubber tree). The record is from RNAcentral. Lineage: Eukaryota; Viridiplantae; Streptophyta; Magnoliopsida; Malpighiales; Euphorbiaceae.
UUUAUCCUGCAAUGCCUGCAAGUUAAUCCAGACGAUCGUCCCACUGCUGCUCAGCUCUUGGACCAUCCAUUUGUUAAGAGGUCAUCUCAUGCCUAAUUAGGCUUUGGAAAUAUCUCGGUAAUUGUGGUGAUUUUCCCCACUUCAGCCACUUAUGCCAUUAUAAAAUGGAAAAAUUCUUGCCCAUCACCAAUACAUCACAG